AUUGAACGCUGGCGGCAUGCCUUACACAUGCAAGUCGAACGGCAGCACGGGUGCUUGCACCUGGUGGCGAGUGGCGAACGGGUGAGUAAUACAUCGGAACGCACCGUAUCGUGGGGGAUAACGCAGCGAAAGCUGUGCUAAUACCACAUACGCCCUGAGGGGGAAAGCGGGGGAUCGAAAGACCUCGCGCGAUUCGAGCGGCCGAUGCCUGAUUAGCUUGUUGGUGGGGUAAAAGCCCACCAAGGCGACGAUCAGUAGCUGGUCUGAGAGGACGAUCAGCCACACUGGGACUGAGACACGGCCCAGACUCCUACGGGAGGCAGCAGUGGGGAAUUUUGGACAAUGGGGGCAACCCUGAUCCAGCAAUGCCGCGUGAGUGAAGAAGGCCUUCGGGUUGUAAAGCUCUUUUGUCAGGGAAGAAACACCGGCUCUAACACAGUCCGGGAAUGACGGUACCUGAAGAAUAAGCACCGGCUAACUACGUGCCAGCCGCCGCGGUAA
Molecule: ribosomal RNA, 501 nt
Filed under: uncultured bacterium
Lineage: Bacteria
Description: partial 16S ribosomal RNA
Rfam family: Bacterial small subunit ribosomal RNA
Source: RNAcentral